This 434-nucleotide ribosomal RNA is filed under the name uncultured Clostridium sp. RNAcentral describes it as "partial 16S ribosomal RNA". It matches the Rfam family "Bacterial small subunit ribosomal RNA", at positions 341 to 792 of the family's 1533-position model. Lineage: Bacteria; Bacillati; Bacillota; Clostridia; Eubacteriales; Clostridiaceae. The record is from RNAcentral.
ACGGGGGCAGCAGUGGGGGAUAUUGCACAAUGGAGGAAACUCUGAUGCAGCAACGCCGCGUGAGGGAAGAAGGUCUUCGGAUUGUAAACCUAAGUUGUCAGGGACGAAACAUGACGGUUCCUGAAGAGAAAGCUCCGGCUAACUACGUGCCAGCAGCCGCGGUAAUACGUAGGGAGCGAGCGUUGUCCGGAUUUACUGGGUGUAAAGGGUGCGUAGGCGGGUCUGCAAGUCAGGCGUGAAAUCCCACGGCUUAACUGUGGGGCUGCGCUUGAAACUGUAGAUCUUGAGUGAAGUAGAAGCAAGCGGAAUUCCUAGUGUAGCGGUGAAAUGCGUAGAUAUUAGGAGGAACACCAGUGGCGAAGGCGGCUUGCUGGGCUUUAACUGACGCUGAGGCACGAAAGCAUGGGGAGCAAACAGGAUUAGAUACCCUGGUA